UGUACUACAACAGGAGGUCAUAAAUGAUGU
RNAcentral lists this non-coding RNA (30 nucleotides) under Rattus norvegicus (Norway rat). The record is from RNAcentral. Lineage: Eukaryota; Metazoa; Chordata; Mammalia; Rodentia; Muridae.